Molecule: long non-coding RNA, 490 nt
Organism: Coregonus clupeaformis (lake whitefish)
Lineage: Eukaryota; Metazoa; Chordata; Actinopteri; Salmoniformes; Salmonidae
Exons: 4
Source: RefSeq, a predicted model, not a curated record
UGAAGACAGUCGAAACAUGCCUAUGUCAUUUCUCAUUUUCUAUUGGCUGCUUUCAUUCACGUGAUCAAAACAUAAUCAUGGCGGCCUCUGCUGCAGUCCGGUCGAGCGUGGGGCUGACUUUGAGACUUUCUAGAGUUAUACCAGAUUGUAGCACAUGUCCUUUCAACAGGUUGAAUAGUUAUUUGAAUGGUAUAGCUAGUUCUUCGAAUGGUGAUCGUUUUCGGACGUUGAACCGACACUUGCAGACAUCCAGAGGUCUGUACCACAGUGAGGAGGGUGCAAGUGCAGAAGUCCCCCAAGAAGAUGUGGUGAAUGUGGUGUACAUAGAUAGAUCAGGAAAGAGGAUUCCAGUGAAGGCUAAAGUGGGAUAGGCACAACAUUGAAUAGGCACAACAUUGAACUGGAAGGAGCUUGCGAGGCGUCACUAGCUUGCUCAACGUGCCACGUGUAUGUGAACAGAGACCACGUCGACAAGCUACCAGAGCCUGAC